Molecule: ribosomal RNA, 2110 nt
Filed under: Spurilla neapolitana
Lineage: Eukaryota; Metazoa; Mollusca; Gastropoda; Nudibranchia; Aeolidiidae
Description: bacterial SSU rRNA
Rfam family: Eukaryotic small subunit ribosomal RNA
Source: RNAcentral
CCCUUCUGGUUGAUCCUGCCAGUCAUAUGCUUGUCUUGAGGGUUAAGCCAUGCACGCCUAUGCUCACCCUACACAGAAGGGGAAGCCGCGAACUGCUCAGUAUAUCGGCGAUAAUACACGGGGUGGGCGAUGUUUGUCCGGACACCUGUAGGAAUCCCAGAGCUAAUACGUGCACACGAGUCCUCCUCCUAACGGGGCUUCGCGCUCCGCGGGGAGAGGGCGCAUUUAUUAGGAUCUUGACCGGCGGUGGGCGGUUAACGCCGUCCCACCAGGCUGAGGCGAACUCUGGGUAUGUGACGACCGCUGUUAGCGGCGUGCCCGUUUGCUCGCCGUCCCAUCAAAUUUAGACGGCCCGGGCAAGAGCCCCCCGUGUUGGCUACGGGUGACGGAGGAUCAGGGUUCGAUCCCGGAGAGGGAGCCUGCGAGACGGCUACCACGCUUAAGGGUGGCAGCAGGCGCGCAACUUACCCACUCCCAGCACGGUGAGGUAGUGAAGAUAAAUGUCGGGGCUGGGCUCGCAUGCGAGCCUAGCGGUCGGAUUGAGCGUAGACCAAACACGUGCCGUUGAUGACCUAUCGGAGGGCAAGCCUGGUGCCAGCAGCCGCGGUAAUUCCAGCUCCGAUGGCGUAUGUUGUAGUUGCCGCGUUUAAAACGCUCGUAGUUGGAUCUCUGAGGUGACGGCAGCGACAAACCGCGGGUGACGUUGUCCCGGCGAUUAUGCACCGCCGUGGUUUUGGGGAAGGAGCAAGCGGUGCUCUCUCCCCGUCCUCUCUCCUUUAACCGGGGGAUUGGUGCGGGGAGUAGUGUGUCGCAACCGGACCCUAGCGGCGGAUCUCGCCGGGCAUCGCUUGCCCGUCGCUGCCGGUUUAGUCUCUUUCCGUCCUAAGCCGUGUCGGCUCGGUACGUGGCGUAUCUGGGCCGUGCACAAAGGUACGGGCGGUGUUCUCCCUGAAUCAAUUGGAGUGCUCAAAGCAGGUCGUGCUCGCACAGUUUUGCUCGGAACGAUGUGAUGACGCCACCGUCCCGCAAAUGUUUUACCACACACGGGCCCGGUCUCCGUGGGGACGGUGGGCGAGGUCUAUAGAGACGGCCGGGGGGCGGCGUACUACCGCGGGAGGGGUGGAAUCCGACGAUCGCGGUGGGACGAACAAGAGCGAAGGCACCGGCCAAGAGCGCCUUCGUUGAUCAUGAACGAAAGUCGGAGGAACGAACGCGAUCAGGUACCGCGGUAGUUCCGACAGUAAACCAUGCCGACCGGUUACGCGGGGACGUCCCCAGUGGGGAAGCCUCGCGAGGCCCCGGAGAAAUCAGAGUGCCUGGGCUCCGGGGGGAGUACGGUCGCAAGGCUGAAACUUAAAGGAAUUGACGGAAGGGCACCACCAGGAGUGGAGCCUGCGGCUCAAUUUGACUCAACACGGGGAAGCUUACCAGGUCCGGACACCGCGUGGAUUGACAGACUGAGGCUCUUUCAUGAUUCGGUGAGUGGUGGUGCAUGGCCGUUGCUAGCCCGUGGAGCGAUCCGUCUGGUUCAUUCCGAUAACGGGCGAGACUCUGCCCUGGCGGAUAACAAACGGCGGUCGAGAGGGGUCCGUCUCACGGGUUGGGUCGGUGUCGUUUUCCCCUUCACGGGGGGAGGCGGCCUCGGUCUUCCCACUCAGGGAGAGACGGUGCUCCGGACCGCCGUCGCGCAGGCCGCGUCCUGCAGGGAUUGACCUCGAGCAGUGCGUACGAGAUGGAGCCAUAACAGGUCUGUGAUGCCCUUAGACGUCCUGGGCUGCACGUGUGCUACAGUGGUGGCGCCAGCCGGCGCGGUGUAGACCGUCAGCGUAGGAGUCUUCAUGUCCGGGGUCGGUCUUCCUGCGAGUUGGGCCGUGAACUCGGAAUGCCACGUAGUCACGGGUCAGCAUCCCGUGCCGACUACGUCCCUGCCCUUUGUACACACCGCCCGUCGCUACCUUCGGUGGACGGCGCAGCCAGGGCCCCGGAGUGGCCGGCGAGACGGGGCUUCGUGCUCCUGAAAUCGCAGUCGUCGCGAUGUCGCCCGAACUGCGCUGCCCCGAGAGGGUAAAAGUCGUAACAAGGUUACCGUAGGUGAACCUGCGGAAGGAUC